ACUGUUUACCAAAAACAUAGCCCUCGGCCAAUAUGAAAAUAGAUGUAUAGAGGGUGAUGCCUGCCCAAUGGUUGUAUCUAAAAGCGGUUGAUAAAAGUCGACCUCGUAAGGACAAUUGAAUGGCCGCGGUAACACUGACCGUGAUAAUGUAGCGUAAUCAAUAGCCAAUUAAUUGUUGGCCAGUAUGAAUGGCGCCACGAAGGCCCCACUGUCUUAAGGAAAUUCCCAGUGAAAUUGAAUUCGUAGUGAAGAUGCUACGUCCAAUUUGUUAGACGAAAAGACCCCGUUGAGCUUUACUGGGGCACUUACACGGCCCCGGCCUUCCCGUGUCCGGGAACCGGCCGAAUUUAAAUGGGUGGUUUAGACUAUGUGGCAGCCCCCCGCCGGGGCAGAUGAAACCCCACUCCCCCAUGUCAAAGGGGCUAACCCCCUCUUGGGGGGGAG
Molecule: ribosomal RNA, 444 nt
Filed under: Palythoa nelliae
Lineage: Eukaryota; Metazoa; Cnidaria; Anthozoa; Zoantharia; Sphenopidae
Description: partial 16S ribosomal RNA
Rfam family: Bacterial large subunit ribosomal RNA
Source: RNAcentral